Molecule: ribosomal RNA, 508 nt
Filed under: uncultured Glomus
Lineage: Eukaryota; Fungi; Glomeromycota; Glomeromycetes; Glomerales; Glomeraceae
Description: SSU rRNA
Rfam family: Eukaryotic small subunit ribosomal RNA
Source: RNAcentral
AGCAGCCGCGGUAAUUCCAGCUCCAAUAGCGUAUAUUAAAGUUGUUGCAGUUAAAAAGCUCGUAGUUGAAUUUCGGGGUUAGUAGGUUGGUCAUGCCUCUGGUAUGUACUGGUCUCACUGAUUCCUCCUUCCUGAUGAGCCGUAAUGCCAUUAAUUUGGUGUUUUGGGGAAUUUGGACUGUUACUUUGAAAAAAUUAGAGUGUUUAAAGCAAGCUAACGCUUGAAUACAUUAGCAUGGAAUAAUGAAAUAGGACGUUCGAUCCUAUUUUGUUGGUUUCUAGGAUUGACGUAAUGAUUAAUAGGGAUAGUUGGGGGCAUUAGUAUUCAAUUGUCAGAGGUGAAAUUCUUGGAUUUAUUGAAGACUAACUACUGCGAAAGCAUUUGCCAAGGAUGUUUUCAUUAAUCAAGAACGAAAGUUAGGGGAUCGAAGACGAUCAGAUACCGUCGUAGUCUUAACCAUAAACUAUGCCGACUAGGGAUCGGAUGAUGUUAAUUUUUUAAUGACUCA